UACUAGCCGUCGCAUGCACCUUCCUUCCUGAAUUCCUCGCAACAUUCCCUCUUUCAACAAGAUUUUCGAAAUCUAUCCCCUCACCCUUGGCCUCCAAAAUAGCAAAACGAGAACCUUCAAAUCGGCCAUGAUCGCCAACAUUCCUACCUUGCGAUGAGUCACUCAUCUUACCCCUCUGUCGACGUUCGACAACCAUCCAUGGGCCAAAUUCCUCCUCCUUGGCCCUAGAUUGGAGAUUUGACUUUUGAACUCUCGAACCACCUUCCACCGUCGUAUCCUCCGCCAUAGGCGCAUUUUUCUCGUAGCACAGCGUCGAGCUGUGGCCAUAGAGCCCACACGAGAAACAAAUAUUGGGUUAUCCUUCGUAUUCAACUCUUUGAAUCCUUCCAUUUAUUCUUAUUUUUGAAACUAAUGGCUUUUGCAGAUCCACACUAACAACCUGUCUCGUAAAUCUCUCUCUGACUGCUGCAUCUGUUCCAGCAUCAAUCUGAAACACUAGUCUGAUCAUACUUUCGAUGGUCCUUAGCAAAAAGUCAGAGUAAAACCCUUCAAACAGUCCUAGUAAUUGGAUCCAAACCAGUUGUUUGUCCACCUCACUGUUACUUGUUGAGAAAUCCGCAGACCAAGCUCUCACCGACAAGUAAUGACCGAAUACCACCCAUGGGCCACCCAACAGUACCUUGUCAAAGUCACCCUUAUCUUGGAAAUGGACAAGGUAAAAAUCGUUCUCCAGAUCCAAUAACUGAAAUUUACCUUUUAUAUUUCAUAGAGCAGAUACCUUAUUGAGCAAGGCUUUGAAACCUAUUUUCCUACCCAACAGCUUGAUCACAACUGUUAGAGCCAUUUUCUUUUCAAUGAAUCUAUGAACCUGAUCCGAAAACGUAAUGGAAGGGAUCCCAUUACCAUCUCUGUCGUCCCAUCCGUAUCUUGUAACUCAAAGUCCUCAUCCAUACAAACAUCCCCAUUUGGAAUCGAUAAAGCACCCAUUAACUUAGCCUUAUACGAGUCCUUUGCUACAUUGUCCUCUUGCACUGUCUGGCCAUUCCCAUCUAUUAUCGGAUCAGCCAUCUCCAUCAUUAUCUCUGGCUGACGCCUGACCCUUUUCGUAGCCCUUCCAACACCACAGUCCGAGGCUAUAGAGUUAGAACCAAUAGCAGAGUUAACCAACGAGAGAGUUUCAGACAUGUUAAAAUCCUCUUCUCUAUUUCUAUUUUUUUUAAUAAUUGGGUAAGGAAAAUGGAUAUUAAGGAUUGAAUCCAAAUAAGAGUCUUAUUUUCUUUUGGGCCAUAAAAGAAAUUCAUUCCAUAAAAAAGAUUUAUUAAGAGUGGAACAUGACUUGUAGCUUUGGUUGGUUUGAUUUAAAAAGAUUUGAUUUGUCAGAAUUCGUUGUGGAAAAUUAAGGUCAUUCUAGUACUUAUCAACAUAUUUUAUAGUAUUUUUAUAUGUUUUGAUUUCAUUUUUAGUUUUUAUUGUUUUAUGUUUAAAUUAUGCAAAAUAAACGUUUUUAUAGAAUUUUGAGUUAUGUAAUAAUCUAAUGGGCCACUAUGGGCUUAGGGAUGAUCUAACGACUCUAUGUAGUGUGUAGGACACUUUUUUUGGGCUUAGAAAACGAAGGACGACUGUGGCAUUGAAACACGUGACACCGAGGAGUGAUGUCGCAACACUGAACUUUGAAGCCAAAGUACCCAGAAAUUAAAGUCAGUGUCACGACACCAGUCUUGUGGUGUCACAACAUCAAGUGAAGAGAUGAAAUUUUAAUUAAGGUAUUUUUUGUCCACACAAAGUAACUUAAACAGCUUUUUUGGGUUGUUUAAUAACCUUAAUUAGGUCUGAUCAUAAACUCUAUAAAUAGAUAUUUUAAGUCUCAUUUGAGGAGGCUUGACCAAUUGAGUCACUUAGUUAUUUUAGGGUUUUACUUUAGUUUUUAUUUUCUUCCAAUUUAGUCCUUUACAUACUUUUUGUUCUUGUUUAACUUGGAUUCAAUUGUGAUCCAAUGGUUUAAUAUAGUAGUUUUUUUGUUAUUUCUUCGUGGAUUCCAAUUGCAAUCGAAGGGAUCUUCGUGACUAUCAAAGGAGAUUCGCUUUCGAGCUCAAAUCGAUAUUGAAACGAACUUAUUUUUCUAUUCCUUACUUUUAUUUAAUUUACUGUUUUUUUAUGUUAAAUAUGAGUUUAAGGAUUAUUGCAUCUAGACCACGAAGAGCUAAUUUCCUUAGGGAGAUUAACGAACGAAUGUGUGACUAAUUAACGGAUGAAUUAAGGUUGAGAUUCGAGUUAGCUGGUUUAAAUUAUGUGCGAC
This 2296-nucleotide long non-coding RNA is filed under the name Gossypium raimondii (Peruvian cotton). Its description in RNAcentral is "long non-coding RNA (GRAI_LNC010026)". Lineage: Eukaryota; Viridiplantae; Streptophyta; Magnoliopsida; Malvales; Malvaceae. The record is from RNAcentral.